This 80-nucleotide transfer RNA is filed under the name Microvirga lupini. RNAcentral describes it as "tRNA-Lys". The record is from RNAcentral. Lineage: Bacteria; Pseudomonadati; Pseudomonadota; Alphaproteobacteria; Hyphomicrobiales; Methylobacteriaceae.
GAGCUUUCGUGGCUUCUCACCUGGAGAUCCUCUGACUUUUAAUCAGAGGGUCCUGGGUUCGAGUCCCAGCGCGCUCACCA